Molecule: long non-coding RNA, 842 nt
Organism: Xenopus tropicalis (tropical clawed frog)
Lineage: Eukaryota; Metazoa; Chordata; Amphibia; Anura; Pipidae
Exons: 3
Source: RefSeq, a predicted model, not a curated record
AUCUGUAACAUGACACCCAUUCCCAGCUGGGGCUGGUCACGUGACAUUGUUAUUCCAACCCUAUGUAACUAUAUGUGUGUAACCCACAUUCCCAGGCCCCAGUUGCACGUGUGAUGUCACAAUGGUUUGAACCUCAGAAAGGUUGGAGUCAAUGUAAUUAGAGUUUGUUGUGAGUGAUGUCGUUGUGAUGUCACAAUGUCACAGUCAAAGUGCCCAAGCAGCGGCCAAACUGGCUCAUUCUUGAUCAGGUGACUGAGGUAGGUGGAGCUCUAGGGGUGUUGGUGCCAACGUUAGCAGGAAUAAGAGAUAAUAAUAACGAAUCAGUUUAAUACUGGCGCUGUGGGGGCUUUGGUGUAUUGUUUUUUCGAAAUGGCACAAAAAUUCGGAAACAAUUUGUCAAAAAAAAUUGACGGACAUGAAAAGAAAUGUUGCGCGUCGUGUUUCUGACCCACACAGCAAUUUUUUUGACAGUUUCACUCAUUUUUCACUCACUAAUUACUGUAACUAAAGGGAUAUUUCUGUUUGUCUCCAUAGAGAGAAAGUGAGAGAAAAUGUUUCGGCGUUUACUUUCGUUUUUGCCUUGCGUGCCGAGGAAAAAACGGAAUAAACCCCCGAGAGAAUUUCUUGCGAUUGAAAAAGAUGAAGCCGAUGUGGUCGUCGUGGUAAGCAGGGAGGAACUGGUUAACACAAUAUAAUGAUCACACUUUGCUCACUAUUUGUGCUUUUCCAGCCAUUUCAUUUACUAUUAUUUUUGGCCAUUUUUGCUCGUUUAUUCUUGUAAUAAAACAUGAUUUUAUCCUUCCUAGAACCACCAAGACGAACCCGCCGGCGACAUCAUUGUG